Molecule: ribosomal RNA, 450 nt
Filed under: uncultured bacterium
Lineage: Bacteria
Description: partial 16S ribosomal RNA
Rfam family: Bacterial small subunit ribosomal RNA
Source: RNAcentral
CCUACGGGGGGCUGCAGUUGGGAAUCUUGGACAAUGGGGGAAACCCUGAUCCAGCCAUGCCGCGUGGAGGAUGAAGGUCCUCUGGAUUGUAAACUUCUUUUAUUUGGGAAGAAACUCCCGAUUUCCAUCGGGAUUGACGGUACCAGAUGAAUAAGCACCGGCUAACUCCGUGCCAGCAGCCGCGGUAAUACGGAGGGUGCAAGCGUUCUCCGGAUUCACUGGGUUUAAAGGGGGGCAGGGUGGGCAGUGAUGAAAUCUCCGGGCUUAACCCGGAAACUGCCAUUGAUACUAUUUGUCUUGAAUACUCUGGAGGUGAGCGGAAUAUGUCAUGUAGCGGUGAAAUGCUUAGAUAUGACAUAGAACACCCAUUGCGAAGGCAGCUCACUACGGAAAUAUUGACGCUGAGGCACGAAAGCGUGGGGAUCAAACAGGAUUAGAUACCCCUUAGUC